RNAcentral lists this transfer RNA (58 nucleotides) under Polymyxa betae. RNAcentral's name for it is "tRNA-Ile". Lineage: Eukaryota; Endomyxa; Phytomyxea; Plasmodiophorida; Plasmodiophoridae. The record is from RNAcentral.
GCCGGGCUCGAACCGACGACCUUUGGCUUAUUAGACCAAUGCUCUACCAACUGAGCUA